GAUGAAGAACGUAGCGAAAUGCGAUAAGUAAUGUGAAUUGCAGAAUUCAGUGAAUCAUCGAAUCUUUGAACGCACAUUGCGCCCGCCAGUAUUCUGGCGGGCAUGCCUGUUCGAGCGUCAUUUCAACCAUCAAGCCCUGCUUGCGUUGGGGUCCUGCAGCUGCCCGCAGGCCCUGAAAACCAGUGGCGGGCUCGCUAGUCACACCGAGCGCAGUAAUACAUCUCGCUUUGGGCGUGCGGCGGGUUCUUGCCGUUAAACACCCCCUUUUUACCAAGGUUGACCUCGGAUCAGGUAGGAAUACCCGCUGAACUUAAGCAUAUCAAUAAGCGGAGGA
Molecule: unclassified non-coding RNA, 334 nt
Filed under: soil metagenome
Description: partial contains 5.8S ribosomal RNA, internal transcribed spacer 2, and large subunit ribosomal RNA
Rfam family: 5.8S ribosomal RNA (bases 1-120)
Source: RNAcentral